This 461-nucleotide ribosomal RNA is filed under the name uncultured Ochrobactrum sp. RNAcentral describes it as "bacterial SSU rRNA". It matches the Rfam family "Bacterial small subunit ribosomal RNA", at positions 924 to 1382 of the family's 1533-position model. The record is from RNAcentral. Lineage: Bacteria; Pseudomonadati; Pseudomonadota; Alphaproteobacteria; Hyphomicrobiales; Brucellaceae.
CACAAGCGGUGGAGCAUGUGGUUUUAAUUCGAAGCAACGCGCAGAACCUUACCAGCCCUUGACAUACCGGUCGCGGACACAGAGAUGUGUCUUUCAGUUCGGCUGGACCGGAUACAGGUGCUGCAUGGCUGUCGUCAGCUCGUGUCGUGAGAUGUUGGGUUAAGUCCCGCAACGAGCGCAACCCUCGCCCUUAGUUGCCAGCAUUUAGUUGGGCACUCUAAGGGGACUGCCGGUGAUAAGCCGAGAGGAAGGUGGGGAUGACGUCAAGUCCUCAUGGCCCUUACGGGCUGGGCUACACACGUGCUACAAUGGUGGUGACAGUGGGCAGCGAGCACGCGAGUGUGAGCUAAUCUCCAAAAGCCAUCUCAGUUCGGAUUGCACUCUGCAACUCGAGUGCAUGAAGUUGGAAUCGCUAGUAAUCGCAGAUCAGCCAAGCUGCGGUGAAUACGUUCCCGGGCCUU